UAAUUGAGAAUUGGCCACGAGACUUGCCUCGGCAACAAGGGUAGAAGAUCCUGCGGGUGAAAUGGCACUUGCACGGCUUGUGCGGCAAAAAAGUAGAGAAAAAAGGAAACACUGAGAAUCGUUAGCGAGGAAGAUGGAGCCAUGAUUUUGGGAGGGAAAGAAGGAUAAAUGAAUGUCUUCUACAGAGAAAAUAGAGUGAGAGAUGGCGAGUAAAAAGUUAAAAUUCCAUCGUCUCUAGUUGGCUGUCCCUUUCUUGCUCUUGAUUCUGC
Molecule: unclassified non-coding RNA, 269 nt
Filed under: Hevea brasiliensis (rubber tree)
Lineage: Eukaryota; Viridiplantae; Streptophyta; Magnoliopsida; Malpighiales; Euphorbiaceae
Source: RNAcentral